RNAcentral lists this ribosomal RNA (391 nucleotides) under uncultured bacterium. RNAcentral describes it as "bacterial SSU rRNA". It matches the Rfam family "Bacterial small subunit ribosomal RNA", at positions 30 to 416 of the family's 1533-position model. The record is from RNAcentral.
AUUGAACGCUGGCGGCAGGCCUAACACAUGCAAGUCGAACGGUAACAGGAAGCAGCUUGCUGCUUCGCUGACGAGUGGCGGACGGGUGAGUAAUGUCUGGGAAGCUGCCUGAUGGAGGGGGAUAACUACUGGAAACGGUAGCUAAUACCGCAUAAUGUCGCAAGACCAAAAGAGGGGGACCUUCGGGCCUCUUGCCAUCGGAUGUGCCCAGAUGGGAUUAGCUUGUUGUGGGUAACGGCUCACCAAGGCGACGAUCCCUAGCUGGUCUGAGAGGAUGACCAGCCACACUGGAACUGAGACACGGUCCAGACUCCUACGGGAGGCAGCAGUGGGGAAUAUUGCACAAUGGGCGCAAGCCUGAUGCAGCCAUGCCGCGUGUAUGAAGAAGGCC